This is a ribosomal RNA of 1086 nucleotides. It matches the Rfam family "Bacterial small subunit ribosomal RNA", at positions 343 to 1439 of the family's 1533-position model.
GGGAGGCAGCAGUGGGAAUAUUGCACAAUGGGCGAAAGCCUGAUGCAGCGACGCCGCUUGAGGGAUGACGGCCUUCGGGUUGUAAACCUCUUUCAGUAGGGAAGAAGCGAAAGUGACGGUACCUGCAGAAGAAGCACCGGCUAACUACGUGCCAGCAGCCGCGGUAAUACGUAGGGUGCGAGCGUUAUCCGGAAUUAUUGGGCGUAAAGAGCUCGUAGGCGGUUUGUCGCGUCUGUCGUGAAAGUCCGGGGCUUAACCCCGGAUCUGCGGUGGGUACGGGCAGACUAGAGUGCAGUAGGGGAGACUGGAAUUCCUGGUGUAGCGGUGGAAUGCGCAGAUAUCAGGAGGAACACCGAUGGCGAAGGCAGGUCUCUGGGCUGUAACUGACGCUGAGGAGCGAAAGCAUGGGGAGCGAACAGGAUUAGAUACCCUGGUAGUCCAUGCCGUAAACGUUGGGCACUAGGUGUGGGGACCAUUCCACGGUUUCCGCGCCGCAGCUAACGCAUUAAGUGCCCCGCCUGGGGAGUACGGCCGCAAGGCUAAAACUCAAAGGAAUUGACGGGGGCCCGCACAAGCGGCGGAGCAUGCGGAUUAAUUCGAUGCAACGCGAAGAACCUUACCAAGGCUUGACAUGUUCUCGAUCGCCGUAGAGAUACGGUUUCCCCUUUGGGGCGGGUUCACAGGUGGUGCAUGGUUGUCGUCAGCUCGUGUCGUGAGAUGUUGGGUUAAGUCCCGCAACGAGCGCAACCCUCGUUCCAUGUUGCCAGCACGUAGUGGUGGGGACUCAUGGGAGACUGCCGGGGUCAACUCGGAGGAAGGUGAGGACGACGUCAAAUCAUCAUGCCCCUUAUGUCUUGGGCUUCACGCAUGCUACAAUGGCCGGUACAAUGGGUUGCGAUACUGUGAGGUGGAGCUAAUCCCAAAAAGCCGGUCUCAGUUCGGAUUGGGGUCUGCAACUCGACCCCAUGAAGUCGGAGUCGCUAGUAAUCGCAGAUCAGCAACGCUGCGGUGAAUACGUUCCCGGGCCUUGUACACACCGCCCGUCAAGUCACGAAAGUUGGUAACACCCGAAGCCGGUGGCCUAUU